RNAcentral lists this unclassified non-coding RNA (380 nucleotides) under uncultured bacterium. RNAcentral describes it as "contains 16S-23S intergenic spacer region". The record is from RNAcentral.
UCCGGUUUGGCACCGGCAGUCGGACUAGAGUCCCCGACUUUACUCGCUGGCAACUAGUCCCAAGGGUUGCGCUCGUUGCGGGACUUAACCCAACAUCUCACGACACGAGCUGACGACGGCCAUGCAGCACCUGUGCACGAGCUCCGAAGAGCCCCGCAGGUUUCCCCACGAGUUCCCGUACAUGUCAAGGGUAGGUAAGGUUUUUCGCGUUGCAUCGAAUUAAUCCACAUAAUCCACCGCUUGUGCGGGUCCCCGUCAAUUCCUUUGAGUUUUAAUCUUGCGACCGUACUUCCCAGGCGGCACGUUUAACGCGUUGGCUACGCCACAAAAGGGGUCGAAUCCUUUUACAGCAAACGUGCACCGUUUACGGCUAGGACUAC